This 76-nucleotide transfer RNA is filed under the name Paraprevotella clara. Its description in RNAcentral is "tRNA-Arg". It matches the Rfam family "tRNA". Rfam says of the family: Transfer RNA (tRNA) molecules are approximately 80 nucleotides in length. Their secondary structure includes four short double-helical elements and three loops (D, anti-codon, and T loops). The record is from RNAcentral. Lineage: Bacteria; Pseudomonadati; Bacteroidota; Bacteroidia; Bacteroidales; Prevotellaceae.
GGCUCCGUAGCUUAGCUGUAUAGAGCGUCAGAUUCCGGUUCUGAAGGUCGAGGGUUAGAAUCCUCCGGGGUCACGA